Molecule: ribosomal RNA, 500 nt
Filed under: uncultured bacterium
Lineage: Bacteria
Description: partial 16S ribosomal RNA
Rfam family: Bacterial small subunit ribosomal RNA
Source: RNAcentral
AUUGAACGCUGGCGGAAUGCUUUACACAUGCAAGUCGAACGGCAGCACGGACUUCGGUCUGGUGGCGAGUGGCGAACGGGUGAGUAAUGUAUCGGAACGUGCCCAGUCGUGGGGGCUAACGUAGUGAAAAUUACGCUAAUCCCGCAUACGAUCUAUGGAUGAAAGCGGGGGAUCGCAAGACCUCGCGCGAUUGGGACGGCCGAUAUCAGAUUAGGUAGUUGGUGGGGUAAAGGGCCACCAAGCCAACGAUCUGUAGCUGGUCUGAGAGGGCGACCAGCCACACUGGAACUGAGACACGGUCCAGACUCCUACGGGAGGCAGCAGUGGGGAAUUUUGGACAAUGGGCGAAAGCCUGAUCCAGCCAUUCCGCGUGCAGGAUGAAGGCCCUCGGGUUGUAAACUGCUUUUGUACAGAACGAAGAGGUUUCUACUAAUACUAGGAGCUCAUGACGGUACUGUAAGAAUAAGCACCGGCUAACUACGUGCCAGCCGCCGCCGUAA